AGACAGCGGAGACCAGUCGACUACCUCUGAUGAUUUCUGAGAUCUGAAAUUCUUCAAGAGAAAGAGAGUCCAACAAGAAACCGGGGAGGCUGGAGGGGGUCUCUUGACCCACAAGAUUCAUGUUAGCUUCAGGAGCUAAUCAAGGCCUCUGGAUUUGAGCGAAACUGGUCUGAAUUGAUCGCCAAUAAGGUAGAUCAGGAUUUUACAUUGAAACUGUUCAAAGUUCUGUAAGUUUAGAUUGUAGCAUAUAUAAAAAACCGCUGGGUUAUUGUUGUUGUUGUGGCCAUGGCACUGGCUUUGGUUGGAGGGGCUGCCAUAGGAGCACUCUUCGGAGCGCUGUAUGAUGUCGUUAAGGAAUCGAUGGGCAGGACUGUUUUGCAGUAUAAACCCCUCCUUGGAGAUCUUAAAUUCACUCUGGAAUCUCUACGGCCGCGCAUCGUCCAACAGAUACGAGAUCAUAAUGUGGAGUUAGGCCUCCCGAACGACGAUAUCGAGAGCCUACAAAGACAAAUGGAGGACGGCAUAGUGCUUGUUAGGAAGCUGUCAAAUAAUGGUAUGUGGAAUUGUUAUGCAUGGGGCAGCUGCUGCAACUGCACAAAGCCCAGUUACAGCGACCAACUUGUUGACUUGGAUAGGUCUCUUAGAAUACUGUUAGAGAUAUUGAAGCUGCAGGAAGCAAGGGAUGUGAAGGAGGUCUUGCUUUUGACUAGGAAGAUCGAUGACAAACAAGAUGAAUUGGAAAGAAGAAUGUCAGAUUUGCUGAAAGUGCAGCAGGAAGCAGGGGAUGUGAGAGGGUCUUCAGGAAGCAACAUAGGCACGACGGUACAGCAAGGAAACGAAGGGAAUGGAGGGCAUCAAGUGGCGCCAGUAUGCGGAGUAGGAGGGGCUGCUACUCUAGGAGCAGUUUUUGGAGUGUUGUUUGAUACCGUUGCGCGAGUGAAGGACAAGACUAUGAUGCUUAAACGCCCUCUCGAAGAUGUCAAAUCCACGCUAGACUCGUUAAAACCACUAAUAGAAGAAAUAGCAGCGUAUAACAAGGUAUUGAAUCUCCCAAAGGAGGAAUUAGAAAAGGUUAGAUUUCAAAUGGAAGAGGGUGUGGAGCUACUUCACAAGUGCUCCAAGGUUCGUCAGUGGACUAGCUACAACAGGUAUGAAUAUGCAAACAAACUUCUUGGAUUGGAUGAAUCGCUUCAAGGAUUGUUAAAUAUAUUAAGAGUGCAAUUAGCAAGGGAUGUGAGGGAGAGGUUGGUUUCCGUAAGUAAAAUAGAGAAGUUGAUUGAUCAAAUUGAAGAGAGUGGUACGGUACAAUUACAGAAUCAUCCAACUGAAAUUGAAGAUUCAUGUGAUGUACUUGAACCCCCACAACCUGAAGUUGGAUUGAGUGUGCAGGGAACAAGGGAUGUGAGGAUUCGGCAGCAAAAAUAGAGGUCGGGGUGAAGCGAAUUGAAGGUAGUGGAGAUGUACAAGGUCAAACUGACAUGGGAAUAGGUGAACCUAAGUUGCCUACACUUGAAGCUCCGGAUGUUGAAAAUGAGGUGAUUGAAUAUGUAUCUUCAACGGUUACAGUUGGCUUGGAUGAAGACCUGAUAUGUGUUUCUCCCGCACCUUCCUUCACAGCGAUGGAUGACGAACCAACUGCUUACUUUAGUGAUUUCUCCACAUCCUACCUGGAAGACAAAAUCUCUCAUGUUUCAGAAGAUGCUAACCCGAUGGCUCAUUUUCAUGAUUCCUCUGCAUCCACCGCAAGAGAUAGAAGCUCUUAUGUUUCAAGGGAUGUUGGGACAAAGUUUCCUCUUGGCAAUCCUGUCAAGUCUACACAGAUAUAUUUGCACCAGAAGUUGGAACUGAAGGUGAGUGCUGAUGACAAAAAAAUGAAGAAAGUCACGGAAGCUGUCUGUGCCAUAAGGGGGGUUAGUUCGAUUAGUUGGGAUGCGAAGAACCAAAAGCUAACAGUGUUUGGACAGUUGGAUCCAAUGGUAAUACUGACUAAGUUGAGGAAGAUAGUUCGUAAAACAGAGUUUAUAUCAGUAGCCAUGGAAGAAAUAAAAGAAGAUAAGAAAGAGAGAAAUCUUACUAUGAAAGAGAAAAUGGAAGACAACAAAGACUGCAGCAUUGGGUACAGCCUGCAGCAUUUUGCUGAAUUAAUUUCGUAUCAAGGGGCUCGGCAUCUGCGUAUUGAUGAAAGGAACUAAACGAGCAAGCAUCCAACUGUGCUUCUGCUUCAGAUGCCAAGAAUGUUAGAGGUUUAGGAUCAGAUACGUACGGUUUUGAUCGAUGCUGUAAAGGUUCAGAUAGGUAGGUAGGGUUCCAGUCCUGAUUGUAUGGUUCAUGAAGUAGCUCAGCAAUGAAGUCUGCUAUCUCGUAUAAGUAGAAAACUUUCAAUUUGACAAGCAUUUGUUCCUUGUCUGAGUUGUCUCUUGUGGACAAAUUCCAAAGAAAGGGUACACAGCAAAACCGAAAAUAGUUAACUGGUGUACCAUGUUCCUGCUAGGGUGUUUUUUAUUUCCUUUUGCUCUAUAAUAUUCAUUUGAUUCUGGUCAUUUUUUAACUUUUGUAAA
This is an RNA transcript of Prunus dulcis (almond), 2558 nucleotides long. RefSeq lists it as uncharacterized. The transcript is spliced from 3 exons. NCBI's taxonomy places the organism in Eukaryota, Viridiplantae, Streptophyta, Magnoliopsida, Rosales, Rosaceae. The record is from RefSeq and is a predicted model, not a curated record.